Molecule: ribosomal RNA, 915 nt
Filed under: uncultured bacterium
Lineage: Bacteria
Description: bacterial SSU rRNA
Rfam family: Bacterial small subunit ribosomal RNA
Source: RNAcentral
GAGGGUUUGAUCCUGGCUCAGAUUGAACGCUGGCGGCAGGCCUAACACAUGCAAGUCGAGCGGAUGAAGGGAGCUUGCUCCUGGAUUCAGCGGCGGACGGGUGAGUAAUGCCUAGGAAUCUGCCUGGUAGUGGGGGAUAACGUCCGGAAACGGGCGCUAAUACCGCAUACGUCCUGAGGGAGAAAGUGGGGGAUCUUCGGACCUCACGCUAUCAGAUGAGCCUAGGUCGGAUUAGCUAGUUGGUGGGGUAAAGGCCUACCAAGGCGACGAUCCGUAACUGGUCUGAGAGGAUGAUCAGUCACACUGGAACUGAGACACGGUCCAGACUCCUACGGGAGGCAGCAGUGGGGAAUAUUGGACAAUGGGCGAAAGCCUGAUCCAGCCAUGCCGCGUGUGUGAAGAAGGUCUUCGGAUUGUAAAGCACUUUAAGUUGGGAGGAAGGGCAGUAAGUUAAUACCUUGCUGUUUUGACGUUACCAACAGAAUAAGCACCGGCUAACUUCGUGCCAGCAGCCGCGGUAAUACGAAGGGUGCAAGCGUUAAUCGGAAUUACUGGGCGUAAAGCGCGCGUAGGUGGUUCAGCAAGUUGGAUGUGAAAUCCCCGGGCUCAACCUGGGAACUGCAUCCAAAACUACUGAGCUAGAGUACGGUAGAGGGUGGUGGAAUUUCCUGUGUAGCGGUGAAAUGCGUAGAUAUAGGAAGGAACACCAGUGGCGAAGGCGACCACCUGGACUGAUACUGACACUGAGGUGCGAAAGCGUGGGGAGCAAACAGGAUUAGAUACCCUGGUAGUCCACGCCGUAAACGAUGUCGACUAGCCGUUGGGAUCCUUGAGAUCUUAGUGGCGCAGCUAACGCGAUAAGUCGACCGCCUGGGGAGUACGGCCGCAAGGUUAAAACUCAAAGGAAUUGACGGC